RNAcentral lists this ribosomal RNA (58 nucleotides) under Clostridioides difficile. Lineage: Bacteria; Bacillati; Bacillota; Clostridia; Peptostreptococcales; Peptostreptococcaceae. The record is from RNAcentral.
UCUGGUUAUAAUAGCAGAGAGGAUACACCUGUUCCCAUUCCGAACACAGAAGUUAAGC